RNAcentral lists this ribosomal RNA (301 nucleotides) under uncultured bacterium. RNAcentral's name for it is "bacterial SSU rRNA". It matches the Rfam family "Bacterial small subunit ribosomal RNA", at positions 335 to 632 of the family's 1533-position model. The record is from RNAcentral.
UGGCCUACGGGGGGCAGCAGUGAGGAAUAUUGGUCAAUGGCCGGAAGGCUGAACCAGCCAAGUCGCGUGAGGGAAUAAGGCCCUAUGGGUCGUAAACCUCUUUUGUCAGGGAGCAAAGGCGUCCACGAGUGGACGAAAGGAGAGUACCUGAAGAAAAAGCAUCGGCUAACUCCGUGCCAGCAGCCGCGGUAAUACGUAGGGAGCAAGCGUUAUCCGGAUUUACUGGGUGUAAAGGGCGUGUAGGCGGGCAUGCAAGCCAGAAGUGAAAUCUGGGGGCUUAACCCCCAAACUGCUUUUGGAA